This 72-nucleotide transfer RNA is filed under the name Schistosoma japonicum. Its description in RNAcentral is "tRNA-OTHER". The record is from RNAcentral. Lineage: Eukaryota; Metazoa; Platyhelminthes; Trematoda; Strigeidida; Schistosomatidae.
AGCCCAGUGGUCCAAUGGUAAAACGCUCGUUACGGAGCCAGAGGGUCCUCGGUUCGAUCCCCAACGGGGUCG